UACGUAGGGGGCGAGCGUUGUCCGGAAUCAUUGGGCGUAAAGCGCGUGUAGGCGGCUCGGUAAGUCUGCUGUGAAAGUCCAGGGCUCAACCCUGGGAUGCCGGUGGAUACUGUCGAGCUCGAGUCCGGAAGAGGCGAGUGGAAUUCCUGGUGUAGCGGUGAAAUGCGCAGAUAUCAGGAAGAACACCCGUGGCGAAGGCGGCUCUCUGGAACGCAACUGACGCUGAGACGCGAAAGCGUGGGGAGCGAACAGG
This 253-nucleotide ribosomal RNA is filed under the name uncultured bacterium. RNAcentral describes it as "partial 16S ribosomal RNA". It matches the Rfam family "Bacterial small subunit ribosomal RNA", at positions 524 to 776 of the family's 1533-position model. The record is from RNAcentral.